GGGACAAAAAAAGUAAAUAAAAAAAAAAAAAGUUUAUAUUAAUAGUAAAUGCCUAUAUAAAAGCUUCUGAAGUAUUGAUAAUUGUAGGAAGAAAGGAAACAGGUGAUAUUCAUCACCAUUUAUUUCCUGUCACAUGACAAUAAGGGCAUAGGCAAGGGUAAAAUCAUGGAGAAGAAACUCUGAUUGAUGACAUGCAAGAAUUUCACACUGCUCAUCUUCAAUUUCAGUCAUGGUUAAAUCAUUUCAUUUUGGGGGCUCCUAGCCUCAGCCGGAAGUCCUCCUCCAUAAGAGGAAGGCCGUCUCUCAACUUGACUUUUGGUUCCCAACCCAGCAAUUCCUUUGCCUUUGUGAUGUCAGACUUCCUCUGUCUUGGAUCAUCAGGAGUGUUCUCCACCAUCUUUAUUUCCACAUUAGGAUUGAUAAGCUCCUUCACAUUCUCGGCAAGUUCAAUCAUGGUAAAUUCACCUGG
This 469-nucleotide unclassified non-coding RNA is filed under the name Hevea brasiliensis (rubber tree). Lineage: Eukaryota; Viridiplantae; Streptophyta; Magnoliopsida; Malpighiales; Euphorbiaceae. The record is from RNAcentral.